GCCGGAGUAGCUCAGCACGAAGAGCGUUAGACUGAAGAUCUCAAUGUCCCCGGUUUCAUCCCAGUUUCCGGCG
RNAcentral lists this transfer RNA (73 nucleotides) under Trichobilharzia regenti. It matches the Rfam family "tRNA". Rfam says of the family: Transfer RNA (tRNA) molecules are approximately 80 nucleotides in length. Their secondary structure includes four short double-helical elements and three loops (D, anti-codon, and T loops). The record is from Rfam by way of RNAcentral. Lineage: Eukaryota; Metazoa; Platyhelminthes; Trematoda; Strigeidida; Schistosomatidae.